GCUAGUUGUGUCCGUGAAAUAAAGUGAUUCCUCUGAAAAAUCUAGAGGAGAGCAUUGGCAGACUGUUUCUUUUUCUCAGUUACCUGUGUUUCGUAUUGUGUUUUCAGUCCAAAAUGCAGCUGAAGUUCUCUAGGAAAGAGAAAGCAAAGAGUCACAAUUGAAGUAUGAUGCCAGUAUUUCUUCCGACCAUGUGUCUUGGGGACUUAACUCCAAAUGUGUCUCAACACAAUGGCAAAAAACAAUACUCUGCUUUUCUCCCCCCCCCCCUUUCUUUGGUAGUUAUUGACAGCAAAUUCUCAAACUGCCAUAACAAAUUCACUAAAAUCACUGUCAUUAUCUUCUCAACCAGAAAUGAGAAUAAAUAUAUCUGUGGGCAUCAAUACCCUUGUGUUUGGACUCAGCGAGGUACUGCAAUGUUGAGGAUAUGGAUAACUCCCACCUCUAAAGAAUUCAUUUGCAUUUCCCUGGAGCUGCCUAAUGUGGUAACUUACCCAUUUCAUGGAUUAUACUUAAUUUAUAAACGUUUUUACUGCUGCCGAAGAAUUUAAACAUGAGAGAUGGAAGUGCAGAGAUGAAAGAAACAGGCAGUACAAGAACAUGUGAGGAUAAGAAUCAGCAAGAGGCUUCAGUGAAGAUACAGUUGGAUCUGGGAGGAAAAAAAAAAACUAAAAAGAAGAGAAGGGCAGGGGAGAGCAGAGGAGAAACUUCUGGAAAAAGAUACUCUCUUGGCAAGAUGAAUGGAAAAUAAAACUGCAGAAUGAAAGACUGCUUAAAGAACAGUCCCUAAUCUUCUGCCAACACAGGCUAAUUUGUAUUUCUGGAACUAGCAGAAAGGAUGUCAGCUGAAGCUCAUGUUAGAGUCACCUUGCAGCAAAUGUUCCACCGCACAUGUGCAGUCAGGAGGGAGUGGAAUGAAUUUAGGUUCAUCGAGUGAAGAAUGACUUCAGGAACUCCAAACAUCCCAUUCCCGAGCUUCAGCUUCAGAACAUAGGCUCUUUCUCUCUAAUUGCACAUAGGAAAUAAAGAGAACAGGGUCUGGGCUGUCAAUUAAGAUCUAAAUUUGGCUCCCAGUGAAGAGAAAUAGCAACCAUCAAGCUGUAAAUGCUUCUUUAAUGAGGUAUGAAGAACUAAGCUUGUCACCAAGAAGAAAGGUUCCAGUGGAGAGUUCUAAGAAUUGAAAGAGAGGUGAACAAGCUACACACACGCCAGAUUAGCAUUCUCAUUCUUCAGUUUUCUUUGGUUAGUGUGGAAAGUAAUCAGUUUAUGUAUUCUGUCUACUUCCAUGUUGCUUUUCGUGUCAUUAGGAUGACUGUUAGAUUGUAGAUCCCUAGAAAAUAAUGCUUCCUUUCUUUCCUCCUAGCUGCUUUUUUUCUCCUGCCUUCUCCUUCUUUCCCCUGCCCUUUUUUACAACUUUCUUGAAAACUCAGUUGCAAGUACAAAGUAAAGCUUGCUGAGCGUUCACAAAAUGAGGCUGUAAGUACAACCAGCAUUCAGAUCGCAAAAUAGAAAUUUCUAAAACUGCAGAAGCUCUGGAUGCCCCCUUGCAGUUACUACCAAAGGUAAAUACUGUUUGGAGUUAUAACAACAUAGAUUAAAUUUGCCUAUAUUUGAACUUUAUAUAAUUAGAACCACAUAGUCUACUCUCUGUUGUGUUUGGCUUCUUUUUUGCUUAGCAUUAUGUUUGUACGCCUCGCCCAUGUUGUUGCAUGUUACAAUAAUUUGAUCAUACUUAUUCAUUUUGCAUUGUGUGGAUAUGUCACAACUUUAUUUAUAGUCUCUUCUGUUAGUGGAAAUUAUUAUACAUGUCCUUUGGUGAACUUAUAUAUUUACAUCUUUUGGGUAUAUACCUUGGGAAAUGGAAUUGCUGAGUUAGAAAAUAUAAUAUGAUUUUCUUAGCUUUAAUGACCCUUCGGGCAUCCUCUUUGUCAAGUUCUUAUUCAGGCUUUAUGCCCAUUUUCCUAUUGAUUUUUUGACCCUUCACCCUCUUAAUGGUUUGUUUUGAAUGAAGAGAUUCUUGAUUUAAUACUGUUCAAUUUAUCCACUUUCCUCCCCUUUUAUUGUUAAGUAGCUUUUGGAGUCUGAUUUAAGAAAUCUUUGCUGACUUGAAGGUCACAAAAAUAUUGCUCUAUAUUUCUUUCUAGAAGAUUUAUUUAGUUUCACAUUUAGAUCUACCACAUCCUCAUAGGUAAUUAGCUGGACAGAGAACCGAAGUCACCUGUGACAUGGCUUAGCUAUUUGCUCUGGGAAAUUCCCGCAAACCAAAUUCUCCAGGCAAAUAUCUUACUUAUCUAGGAAAAUACCUCUCCCCUAUCAGGAGAAUAGAUUUCUCACCCAAACAGACAGCUCAUGUGUCAAAAAUCAGUUUACUUAUCUGGAUUUACUUCAUGCCUUUCUCUGUGUCCACCAAUCCUAAACUAUCACGUAACAAUUUCUUCCUAAUCUCAGUUGUUCCUAGCCUGGAAAAAAAAAUCUAGCCCUAACCACGUGAGCCCAAAUCCAAAGCCCCAAACACCUUUCUCUGACUUUUG
Molecule: long non-coding RNA, 2528 nt
Organism: Microcebus murinus (gray mouse lemur)
Lineage: Eukaryota; Metazoa; Chordata; Mammalia; Primates; Cheirogaleidae
Source: Ensembl